GACGAACGCUGGCGGCGUGCUUAACACAUGCAAGUCGAACGGAAAGGCCCUGCUUUUGUGGGGUGCUCGAGUGGCGAACGGGUGAGUAACACGUGAGUAACCUGCCCUUGACUUUGGGAUAACUUCAGGAAACUGGGGCUAAUACCGGAUAGGAGCUCCUGCUGCAUGGUGGGGGUUGGAAGGUUUCGGCGGUUGGGGAUGGACUCGCGGCUUAUCAGCUUGUUGGUGGGGUAGUGGCUUGCCAAGGCUUUGACGGGUAGCCGGCCUGAGAGGGUGACCGGCCACAUUGGGACUGAGAUACGGCCCAGACUCCUACGGGAGGCAGCAGUGGGGAAUAUUGCACAAUGGGCGGAAGCCUGAUGCAGCAACGCCGCGUGCGGGAUGACGGCCUUCGGGUUGUAAACCGCUUUCGCCUGUGACGAAGCGUGAGUGACGGUAAUGGGUAAAGAAGCACCGGCUAACUACGUG
This 468-nucleotide ribosomal RNA is filed under the name uncultured bacterium. Its description in RNAcentral is "partial 16S ribosomal RNA". It matches the Rfam family "Bacterial small subunit ribosomal RNA", at positions 28 to 507 of the family's 1533-position model. The record is from RNAcentral.